Molecule: ribosomal RNA, 253 nt
Filed under: uncultured bacterium
Lineage: Bacteria
Description: partial 16S ribosomal RNA
Rfam family: Bacterial small subunit ribosomal RNA
Source: RNAcentral
UACGGGGGGGGCAAGCGUUGUUCGGAAUUACUGGGCGUAAAGGGCUCGUAGGCGGCCAACUCAGUCGGACGUGAAAUCCCUCGGCUUAACCGGGGAAUGGCGUCCGAUACUGGAUGGCUUGAGUGUGGGAGAGGGAUGCGGAAUUCCAGGUGUAGCGGUGAAAUGCGUAGAUAUCUGAAGGAACGCCGGUGGCGAAAGCGAUCCGCUGGACCUCUUCUGACGCUGAGGCGCGAAAGCCAGGGGAGCAAACGGG